RNAcentral lists this ribosomal RNA (397 nucleotides) under uncultured bacterium. Its description in RNAcentral is "bacterial SSU rRNA". It matches the Rfam family "Bacterial small subunit ribosomal RNA", at positions 505 to 898 of the family's 1533-position model. The record is from RNAcentral.
GUGUCAGCAGCCGCGGUAAUACGGAGGAUCCGAGCGUUAUCCGGAAUCAUUGGGUUUAAAGGGUCCGUAGGCGGCUAUAUAAGUCAGUGGUGAAAUCCGUUAGCUCAACUAAUGAAUUGCCAUUGAUACUGUAUAGCUUGAAUGCUUGUGAAGUAGCUAGAAUAUGUAGUGUAGCGGUGAAAUGCUUAGAUAUUACAUGGAAUACCAAUUGCGAAGGCAGGUUACUAACAAGUUAUUGACGCUGAUGGACGAAAGCGUGGGGAGCGAACAGGAUUAGAUACCCUGGUAGUCCACGCCGUAAACGAUGGAUACUAGCUGUUCGACCUACAUUGGUAGGUUGAGUGGCUAAGCGAAAGUGAUAAGUAUCCCACCUGGGGAGUACGCACGCAAGUGUGAA